UACAGAGGGUGCGAGCGUUAAUCGGAAUUACUGGGCGUAAAGCGCACGUAGGUGGCGACGUAAGUCGGGUGUGAAAGCCCCGGGCUCAACCUGGGAAUUGCAUUCGAGACUGCAUUGCUCGAGUACGGAAGAGGAAGGCGGAAUUCCCGGGGUAGCGGUGAAAUGCGUAGAGAUCGGGUGGAACAUCAGUGGCGAAGGCGGCCUUCUGGUCCAGUACUGACAAUCAAGUGCGAAAGAGUGGGGAGCAAACAGG
RNAcentral lists this ribosomal RNA (253 nucleotides) under uncultured bacterium. Its description in RNAcentral is "partial 16S ribosomal RNA". It matches the Rfam family "Bacterial small subunit ribosomal RNA", at positions 524 to 776 of the family's 1533-position model. The record is from RNAcentral.